RNAcentral lists this ribosomal RNA (253 nucleotides) under uncultured bacterium. Its description in RNAcentral is "partial 16S ribosomal RNA". It matches the Rfam family "Bacterial small subunit ribosomal RNA", at positions 524 to 776 of the family's 1533-position model. The record is from RNAcentral.
UACGAAGGGGGCUAGCGUUGUUCGGAAUCACUGGGCGUAAAGGGUGCGCAGGCGGAUCAUUAAGUCAGGGGUGAAAUCCCGGGGCUCAACCUCGGAACUGCCUUUGAUACUGGUGAUCUUGAGUCCGGAAGAGGUGAGUGGAAUUGCGAGUGUAGAGGUGAAAUUCGUAGAUAUUCGCAAGAACACCGGUGGCGAAGGCGGCUCACUGGUCCGGAACUGACGCUGAGGCACGACAGCGUGGGGAGCAAACAGG